AUACGUAGGUGGCAAGCGUUGUCCGGAAUUAUUGGGCGUAAAGCGCAUGUAGGCGGUAAUUUAAGUCUGUCGUGAAACUGCGGGGCUCAGCCCCGUAUGGCGAUGGAAACUGGGUUACUUGAGUGCAGGAGAGGAAAGGGGAACUCCCAGUGUAGCGGGGAAAUGCGUAGAUAUUGGGAAGAACACCGGUGGCGAAGGCGCCUUUCUGGACUGUGUCUGACGCUGAGAUGCGAAAGCCAGGGUAGCGAACGGGAUUAGAUACCCCGGUAGUCCUGGCCGUAAACGAUGGGUACUAGGUGUGGGAGGUAUCGACCCCUUCCGUGCCGGAGUUAACGCAAUAAGUACCCCGCCUGGGGAGUACGGCCGCAAGGCUUAAACUCAAAUGAAUUGACGGGG
Molecule: ribosomal RNA, 396 nt
Filed under: uncultured bacterium
Lineage: Bacteria
Description: partial 16S ribosomal RNA
Rfam family: Bacterial small subunit ribosomal RNA
Source: RNAcentral